ACGAACGCUGGCGGCAGGCCUAACACAUGCAAGUCGAACGAAGUCUUCGGACUUAGUGGCGCACGGGUGAGUAACACGUGGGAAUAUACCUUUCGCUGGGGGAUAACAUCGGGAAACUGAUGCUAAUACCGCAUACGCCCUACGGGGGAAAGAUUUAUCGGCGAGAGAUUAGCCCGCGUCCGAUUAGGUAGUUGGUGAGGUAACGGCUCACCAAGCCUGCGAUCGGUAGCUGGUCUGAGAGGAUGAUCAGCCACACUGGGACUGAGACACGGCCCAGACUCCUACGGGAGGCAGCAGUGGGGAAUAUUGGACAAUGGGCGCAAGCCUGAUCCAGCCAUGCCGCGUGAGUGAUGAAGGCCUUAGGGUUGUAAAGCUCUUUCGACGGGGACGAUGAUGACGGUACCCGUAGAAGAAGCCCCGGCUAACUUCGU
This 431-nucleotide ribosomal RNA is filed under the name uncultured bacterium. Its description in RNAcentral is "bacterial SSU rRNA". It matches the Rfam family "Bacterial small subunit ribosomal RNA", at positions 29 to 506 of the family's 1533-position model. The record is from RNAcentral.